ACUCACGCUGGCGGCGUGCUUCACCCCUGCAAGUCGAGCGAGGCCCCUCCUUCGGGAGGGUGUCCUAGCGGCGAACGGGUGAGUAACACGUGGGCAACCUGCCCUCAGCUCUGGGAUAACUCCGGGAAACCGGGGCUAAUACCGGAUACGACCUCCACGGGCAUCUGCGGAGGUGGAAAGUUUUUCGGCUGAGGAUGGGCCCGCGGCCUAUCAGCUAGUUGGUGGGGUAGUGGCCCACCAAGGCGACGACGGGUAGCCGGCCUGAGAGGGCGACCGGCCACACUGGGACUGAGACACGGCCCAGACUCCUACGGGAGGCAGCAGUGGGGAAUAUUGCGCAAUGGGCGAAAGCCUGACGCAGCGACGCCGCGUGAGGGACGAAGGCCUUCGGGUUGUAAACCUCUUUCAGCAGGGACGAAGCGAAAGUGACGGUACCUGCAGAAGAAGCACCGGCCAACUACGUG
Molecule: ribosomal RNA, 464 nt
Filed under: uncultured bacterium
Lineage: Bacteria
Description: partial 16S ribosomal RNA
Rfam family: Bacterial small subunit ribosomal RNA
Source: RNAcentral